This 452-nucleotide ribosomal RNA is filed under the name uncultured bacterium. Its description in RNAcentral is "partial 16S ribosomal RNA". It matches the Rfam family "Bacterial small subunit ribosomal RNA", at positions 328 to 794 of the family's 1533-position model. The record is from RNAcentral.
UGUCCAGACUCCUACGGGAGGCAGCAGUGGGGGAUAUUGCACAAUGGGGGAAACCCUGAUGCAGCGACGCCGCGUGGGCGAAGAAGUAUUUCGGUCUGUAAAGCCCUAUCAGCAGGGAAGAAGAAAUGACGGUACCUGAGUAAGAAGCACCGGCUAAAUACGUGCCAGCAGCCGCGGUAAUACGUAUGGUGCAAGCGUUAUCCGGAUUUACUGGGUGUAAAGGGAGCGCAGGCGGCACGGCAAGCCUGAUGGGAAAGCCCGCGGCCCAACCGCGGGACUGCAUUGGGAACUACCGGGCUGGAGUGCCGGAGAGGUAGGCGGAAUUCCUAGUGUAGCAGUGAAAUGCGUAGAUAUCAGGAGGAACACCGGUGGCGAAGGCGGCCUGCUGGACCGCAACUGACGUUGGGGCCCGAAAGCGUGGGGAGCAAACAGGAUUAGAUACCCCUGUAUAU